Molecule: ribosomal RNA, 301 nt
Filed under: uncultured bacterium
Lineage: Bacteria
Description: partial 16S ribosomal RNA
Rfam family: Bacterial small subunit ribosomal RNA
Source: RNAcentral
CAGUCGCCACGGGAAUACGUAGGUGGCAAGCGUUGUCCGGAAUUAUUGGGCGUAAAGGGCUCGCAGGCGGUUUCUUAAGUCUGAUGUGAAAGCCCCCGGCUCAACCGGGGAGGGUCAUUGGAAACUGGGAAACUUGAGUGCAGAAGAGGAGAGUGGAAUUCCACGUGUAGCGGUGGAAUGCGUAGAGAUGUGGAGGAACACCAGUGGCGAAGGCGACUCUCUGGUCUGUAACUGACGCUGAGGAGCGAAAGCGUGGGGAGCGAACAGGAUUAGAUACCCGGGUAGUCCCUGUCUCUUAUAA